This 431-nucleotide ribosomal RNA is filed under the name Dioptromysis spinosa. RNAcentral describes it as "partial large subunit ribosomal RNA". The stretch from base 302 to 431 matches the Rfam family "Archaeal large subunit ribosomal RNA", at positions 2542 to 2673 of the family's 2987-position model. Lineage: Eukaryota; Metazoa; Arthropoda; Malacostraca; Mysida; Mysidae. The record is from RNAcentral.
AGGGCCGCAAUAUUUUAAUUGUGCAAAGGUAGCGUAAUAAUUAGUCUUUUGAAAGGGGAUUGGUAUGAAAGAUUGAACAUAAUAAGUAUUGUCUUCUAAAUCUAGUAUGAAUUUUUAAUUAAAGUAAAUAUACUUUAAUAAUAUAAAGGGACGAUAAGACCCUAUAAACUUUUUAACUAUUUAAAUAAAAAGAAAUAUUAAAAAAUAAGUGUUUAUUGGGGCAAUAUAAAUAUUAAUCUGUUUAUUUAAAAAUAAUCUAGAAUAAAGAGCCAGUUUAUGAAUAAGAAAAAAGUACUUUAGGGAUAACAGCGUGAUUACUUUGGAGAGUACUUAUCUAUAAAGUAGAUUGCGACCUCGAUGUUGAAUUAAGAAGUUAUUUGGUGUAGAAGUUAAAAUAAAUAGUCUGUUCGACUAAUAAAUUCUUACAUGAU